This 251-nucleotide ribosomal RNA is filed under the name uncultured Anaerovorax sp. Its description in RNAcentral is "partial 16S ribosomal RNA". It matches the Rfam family "Bacterial small subunit ribosomal RNA", at positions 88 to 339 of the family's 1533-position model. The record is from RNAcentral. Lineage: Bacteria; Bacillati; Bacillota; Clostridia; Peptostreptococcales; Anaerovoracaceae.
GCGGAAAGCGGCGGACGGGUGAGUAACGCGUAGGCAACCUGCCCUUUGCAGAGGGAUAGCCUCGGGAAACCGGGAUUAAAACCUCAUAAUACUGCAAAUUCACAUGUAAUUGCAGUCAAAGAUUUAUCGGCAAAGGAUGGGCCUGCGUCUGAUUAGUUAGUUGGUGGGGUAACGGCUCACCAAGGCGAUGAUCAGUAGCCGACCUGAGAGGGUGAUCGGCCACAUUGGAACUGAGACACGGUCCAAACUCC